RNAcentral lists this ribosomal RNA (461 nucleotides) under uncultured bacterium. RNAcentral describes it as "partial 16S ribosomal RNA". It matches the Rfam family "Bacterial small subunit ribosomal RNA", at positions 338 to 795 of the family's 1533-position model. The record is from RNAcentral.
CCUACGGGGCGCUGCAGUGAGGAAUAUUGGUCAAUGGGCUUACGCCUGAACCAGCCAAGUCGCGUGAGGGAAGACUGCCCUAUGGGUUGUAAACCUCUUUUGUCAGGGAGCAACGCCGGCUACGUGUAGCCGGACUGAGAGUACCUGAAGAAAAAGCAUCGGCUAACUCCGUGCCAGCAGCCGCGGUAAUACGUAGGGGGCAAGCGUUAUCCGGAUUUACUGGGUGUAAAGGGAGCGUAGACGGCAGUGCAAGUCUGGAGUGAAAGGCGGGGGCUCAACCCCCGGACUGCUCUGGAAACUGUACGGCUGGAGUGCAGGAGAGGUAAGUGGAAUUCCUAGUGUAGCGGUGAAAUGCGUAGAUAUUAGGAGGAACACCAGUGGCGAAGGCGGCUUACUGGACUGUAACUGACGUUGAGGCUCGAAAGCGUGGGGAGCAAACAGGAUUAGAUACCCCAGUAGUC